UACGUAGGGUGCAAGCGUUAAUCGGAAUUACUGGGCGUAAAGCGUGCGCAGGCGGUUCGCUAAGACCGAUGUGAAAUCCCCGGGCUUAACCUGGGAACUGCAUUGGUGACUGGCGGGCUAGAGUAUGGCAGAGGGGGGUAGAAUUCCACGUGUAGCAGUGAAAUGCGUAGAGAUGUGGAGGAAUACCGAUGGCGAAGGCAGGUCUCUGGGCUGACACUGACGCUCAUGCACGAAAGCGUGGGGAGCAAACAGG
RNAcentral lists this ribosomal RNA (253 nucleotides) under uncultured bacterium. Its description in RNAcentral is "partial 16S ribosomal RNA". It matches the Rfam family "Bacterial small subunit ribosomal RNA", at positions 524 to 776 of the family's 1533-position model. The record is from RNAcentral.